This 253-nucleotide ribosomal RNA is filed under the name uncultured bacterium. Its description in RNAcentral is "partial 16S ribosomal RNA". It matches the Rfam family "Bacterial small subunit ribosomal RNA", at positions 524 to 776 of the family's 1533-position model. The record is from RNAcentral.
UACGUAGGGGGCGAGCGUUGUCCGGAUUUAUUGGGCGUAAAGAGCGUGUAGGCGGCCAGGUAGGUCCGUUGUGAAAACUCGAGGCUCAACCUCGAGACGUCGAUGGAAACCAUCUGGCUAGAGUCCGGAAGAGGAGAGUGGAAUUCCUGGUGUAGCGGUGAAAUGCGCAGAUAUCAGGAAGAACACCUAUGGCGAAGGCAGCUCUCUGGGACGGUACUGACGCUGAGGAGCGAAAGCCAGGGGAGCAAACGGG